This 253-nucleotide ribosomal RNA is filed under the name uncultured bacterium. RNAcentral describes it as "partial 16S ribosomal RNA". It matches the Rfam family "Bacterial small subunit ribosomal RNA", at positions 524 to 776 of the family's 1533-position model. The record is from RNAcentral.
GACAGAGGGUGCAAACGUUGUUCGGAAUUACUGGGCGUAAAGCGCAUGUAGGCGGCUCGGCAAGUCGGAUGUGAAAGCCCAGGGCUCAACCCUGGAAGUGCACUCGAAACUCCCGAGCUGGAGUCCCGGAGAGGAAGGCGGAAUUCUCGGUGUAGAGGUGAAAUUCGUAGAUAUCGAGAGGAACACCUGUGGCGAAGGCGGCCUUCUGGACGGUGACUGACGCUGAGAUGCGAAAGCGUGGGGAGCAAACAGG